This is a long non-coding RNA of Lolium perenne, 854 nucleotides long. RefSeq lists it as uncharacterized. The record is from RefSeq and is a predicted model, not a curated record. NCBI's taxonomy places the organism in Eukaryota, Viridiplantae, Streptophyta, Magnoliopsida, Poales, Poaceae.
CUCCACCUCGCUCCUAUAAAUAGUCCUCGCCUCCCUCUCCAUUUGCCCUGUCUUUCCCCUCCAAAUCGUGCCCCCAGGCUGCCCAAUUUCCUCGCCGUUGUGGUAUAGUACCGCUGUCGUACGAAGUCAUUUCCGACGAGCUAAAACGAGGAGCUUGUCCUCGACUUGAUCUCGCCGACGGUCGUACCAACUCCGGCCGCCUCUCCGUGUUGCUCGAGGUAGCGGAAGCCGUAGUAGUUCACGCCAUUACCUUCACUGCGAACAGGAGUAUCCCGUUCUCAACCUUUCCGUCACCAGAGACCGCCGGAGUGUCAGCGGCGUCCACGACCAAGUCCGUCGCCACCAUCAGGCUGUCGAGAUCGACGAUGCUCUGCCACUUUCGUUUGAAGAGCGACGUGUUUUGUUGAAAGAAAAGAGAACACUCUUCAACUACAAAAAGGCAAGUGACACACACCAAAUGUCCCAGUUUUUAAUUCUUGCACAGUAGUGUUUUUAUAGUAGACAUGUCUAGGGUUUAUGCUUUUUGCCUGCUGUUAAAUCCUAGUAGUUUAGCUACACCACUCCUAGACUCCCUUUGUCGCCAUUAAAUUUAGUUGUUACCUGCUAUGCCAUGGAAAAAGGUUUUGAUAGAGGUUAAGGAAAAACAACUAAGUUUAAUGAAUUACCUGGGUGAAUGGUGGAGUUAUGGAGAGGGUGGCUGUAUCAGGGGGCAAGACCCUGGUGCUAGUGCACACUUGCGGAAAGUCACCCAGACUUAAAGAGAUUGUAGACAAAUCUUGCUCAUUAGCUUCACGUACAACCACAUGCUACUAUGGCUCUGGCUUGACAAAGUAUGUUGCAUGAACCCGGAUCCU